UAAGUUUAAAUCAUUGUGAGUCUACAUUUUGAAAAUUGAACUCCCACAAAAUGGUGGGACAUACAUUAAUUUUAUCCAA
RNAcentral lists this microRNA precursor (79 nucleotides) under Medicago truncatula (barrel medic). Its description in RNAcentral is "MIR5269 microRNA precursor family". It matches the Rfam family "MIR5269 microRNA precursor family". The record is from Rfam by way of RNAcentral. Lineage: Eukaryota; Viridiplantae; Streptophyta; Magnoliopsida; Fabales; Fabaceae.